This 253-nucleotide ribosomal RNA is filed under the name uncultured bacterium. RNAcentral's name for it is "partial 16S ribosomal RNA". It matches the Rfam family "Bacterial small subunit ribosomal RNA", at positions 524 to 776 of the family's 1533-position model. The record is from RNAcentral.
UGCGUAGGGUGCGAGCGUUAAUCGGAAUUACUGGGCGUAAAGCGUGCGCAGGCGGUUUUGUAAGCCAGAUGUGAAAUCCCUGGGCUCAACCUGGGAACUGCAUUCGAUACUGCCGAGCUAGAGUGUGGGAGAGGGUAGUGGAAUUCCCGGUGUAGCGGUGAAAUGCGUAGAUAUCGGGAGGAACAUCAGUGGCGAAGGCGACUGCCUGGCCCAACACUGACGCUGAGGUGCGAAAGCGUGGGUAGCAAACAGG